Molecule: ribosomal RNA, 253 nt
Filed under: uncultured bacterium
Lineage: Bacteria
Description: partial 16S ribosomal RNA
Rfam family: Bacterial small subunit ribosomal RNA
Source: RNAcentral
UACGGGGGGGGCAAGCGUUGUUCGGAAUUACUGGGCGUAAAGGGUUCGUAGGUGGCCCGCUAAGUCAGACGUGAAAUCCCUCAGCUCAACUGGGGAACUGCGUCUGAUACUGGUGGGCUUGAGUGCAGGAGAGGAACGCGGAAUUCCAGGUGUAGCGGUGAAAUGCGUAGAUAUCAGGAGGAACACCGAUGGCGAAGGCAGGUCUCUGGGCCGAUACUGACGCUGAGGAGCGAAAGCGUGGGGAGCGAACAGG